GUCCGUUCAGGGCCAAGGGUGCCCUCUUCCUGCUGCUGCUGCCAGUGCUGCUCCGCUCCGCGCCAAAACUGCACAUGGGAAACAACAGCGUGGUGGCUGAGGAUGGAAUCUCUGGAGCCGUAACUGACAGUAUCUACUCCCUGUGCCACCCCAACGGACAUACUGGCCGUAUCUCUGAGAAACUGCAAUGAAAUACUAAUAGGAAGAAAGAAACAGGAGCCUCUACUAUCCAAAGUACACCUCCAUUACUGUUCCAGUUUAUUAACCCUGCACUUUGCCUUCAAGAUCUCCCUCUCUCUCUCAACACCUUGAUACUGCAUGUAUCAGUGUUACACUGACCUCUGCCAGGGUGCAUAAUACCUCUGGGAAGCUUUGUAUGCGGCAGGCAGCUGAGGCUGCCGUGGCCUUGCAGAUGCAGCGCGAGCCGACAUACAGUUUUGAUCCAGCAGCUCCGGGCUAACCUGACCCGAGCAUACCACCAAUGGGCACGGGCUGGCUUACGCCAAGCUAUCUGUUUCAGAAGCCUGUGUCAGAGUCCUCAAACAGGGCAACCAGUGUUGGUGAGACAAUGAUUAUUGCCUCCCCAACCCCCUCCUGCAUAACUUAUACUGAGGUCAUUCUUGAGCUGACAGAGAGAUGACUGCAUUUACAAUCAGCAAAAUGAAGACUAAUAGAAAUAUAUAGUUUAUUAUAGAAUAUUACUCAUUUUAUUUUCAUUCAGUUCCUGAUAUAGUUAUUUAAUGUGAAGUAAAAUGUACACCUGUACAUCUAUCAUCCAACAAUAACGAAGAGGGAGAAAAUCUGAAGAUGUCAAAAUAACAAUUAACAAGUAAAUGUAACAGAUUUAUUAAAGAUAUUGAUACUAAACUGUAAUCAUUCAUGAAAUUACACAGCUGACCAGCAAUGACCAGAGUGAUGCUAUAUUAGUCGUGAUGACAUUUUAUUACAUAUGGCUGCAACAUCAAGUACUUUUUACAUCGUACAACUAAUCCCCCUCCUCUGUCCAACCAGCUUAUGUUAAAGGGGGAUAUGUGCCCUGAGACCAGCCUGUAAUAGAGAGAGAUGAUAGAGGGAUGGCCUAUCGUGACACUGCUGAGAGGUUUUGAUUGGCAUCGUAGCUUGUUGCUUUGCCAUAGAUGAAAGUAAACAGCAACUGUUGCCACAAUCAGUAUUAAACAGUGGUUAAGGGGUCACGUGUGAUUUGCACUCGUAGUCUAAAAAUUUUUUUUUUUUUUAAACGUACUCUCUAGUGGUGGUUGUGCACUAUAUGAAAGACACAAGAGAGAUGAGACUGAUGAAACCUGACUGUAGUGUAUUAAGCAAAGUGGGGCUCUUUUUCUGGCUAGGAUCAGUAAUGAACUGUUGU
Molecule: non-coding RNA, 1366 nt
Organism: Electrophorus electricus (electric eel)
Lineage: Eukaryota; Metazoa; Chordata; Actinopteri; Gymnotiformes; Gymnotidae
Source: RefSeq, a predicted model, not a curated record